GAUGAACGCUGGCGGCGUGCCUAACACAUGCAAGUCGAGCGGUAUAUAGUGGAAUGAAACUUCGGUCGAGUGAAGCUAUAGAGAGCGGCGGACGGGUGAGUAACGCGUAGGCAACCUGCCCCAUACAGAGGGAUAGCCUCGGGAAACCGGGAUUAAAACCUCAUAACGCGAGGAGUUCACAUGGACUUCUCGCCAAAGAUUCAUCGGUAUGGGAUGGGCCUGCGUCUGAUUAGCUAGUUGGUGAGGUAACGGCUCACCAAGGCGACGAUCAGUAGCCGACCUGAGAGGGUAAUCGGCCACAUUGGAACUGAGACACGGUCCAAACUCCUACGGGAGGCAGCAGUGGGGAAUAUUGCACAAUGGGCGAAAGCCUGAUGCAGCAACGCCGCGUGAGCGAUGAAGGCCUUUGGGUCGUAAAGCUCUGUCCUUGGGGAAGAAACAAAUGACGGUACCCUUGGAGGAAGCCCCGGCUAACUACGUG
Molecule: ribosomal RNA, 481 nt
Filed under: uncultured organism
Description: bacterial SSU rRNA
Rfam family: Bacterial small subunit ribosomal RNA
Source: RNAcentral